This 1411-nucleotide long non-coding RNA is filed under the name Homo sapiens (human). Its description in RNAcentral is "long non-coding RNA NONHSAT158759.1". The record is from RNAcentral. Lineage: Eukaryota; Metazoa; Chordata; Mammalia; Primates; Hominidae.
GUGCCUUUUGCCUCCCGUCAUGAUUCUGAGGCCUCCCCAGCCAUGUGGAACUGUUUGAGGCACAGAGCUGUAUAUACAAUAACAGUGAAAUUGAUCCCACUACUAAUUAUGACAAAAAUGAUCUUCCACGUAAACAGGUGGUGAAGCUCCUUAUGGUCCUGACCCUACAGUUCCUGUCCCAUGACCAGGGCCAGAUCACCAAGGAGCUGCAGCAGUUCGUCGUCAGUGGCAGCCCCAUGCGAGCACCCGAGGAAGUCACAGGUGCCCAGGCCGGAGUGCAGUGGCGUGAUCUCGGCUCGCUACAACCACCACCUCCUAGCAGCCUGCCUUGGCCUUCCAAAGUGCUGAGAUUGCAGCCUCUGCCCAGCCGCCACCCCGUCUGGGAAGUGAGGAGCGUCUCUGCCUGGCCGCCCAUCGUCUGGGAUGUGAGGAGCCCCUCCGCCCAGCAGCCGCCCCGUCUGAGAAGUGAGGAGCCCCUCAGCCCGGCAGCCACCCCAUCUGAGAAGUGAGGAGCCCCUCCACCUGGCAGCCACCCCGUCUGGGAGGGCUGUGACCGUCUAUGACAAGCCAGCAUCUUUCUUUCAAGAGACCUCUGGACCUGCAGCACCAACUCUUCAUGAAGCUGGGCGGCACGCACUCUCCGUUCAGGGCCUGAACCUGAGGACCCAGACACGGAGCGGUCGGCCUUCAUGGAGCGGGAUGCUGGGAGCGGGCUGGUGAUGCGCCUCCGCGAGCGGCCAGCCCUGCUGGUCAGCAGCACAGGCUGGACAGAGGACGAAGACUUCUCCAUCUGCUGGCAGCUUUAGAAAAGUUUGAACAACUGACUCUUGAUGGACACAACCUUCCUUCUCUCGUCUGUGUGAUAACAGGCAAAGGGCCUCCGAGGGAGUAUUACAGCCGCCUCAUCCACCAGAAGCAUUUCCAGCACAUCCAGGUCUGCACCCCUUGGCUGGAGGCCGAGGACUACCCCCGCUUCUAGGGUCGGUGGAUCUGGGUGUCUGUCUGCACACGUCCUGCAGUGGCCUGGACCUGCCCAUGAAGUUUACAUGAGCUGGUGAAACAUGAAGAAAAUGGCCUGGUCUUUGAGGACUCAGAGGAACUGGCAGCUCAGCUGCAGGUGCUUUUCUCAAACUUUCCUGAUCCUGCGGGCAAGCUAAACCAGUUCCGGAAGAACCUGCGGGAGUCGCAGCAGCUCCGAUGGGAUUAGAGCUGGGUGCAGACUGUGCUCCCUUUGGUUAUGGACACAUAACUCCUGGGCCAGAGGCUAAAACCCCGGGACCCCUGCUGUCCUUCCCACAGCUUCUUCUCAGAGUCUCAGGGCAAAUCCUUUCGAGCAGCGCCUCCCAGUGGCCAGAAGCUGAAAUGAUGGCAGUAGUGCCACCUGGUGAAUGAAUUGGUUCUGUGACCCGGG